GACGAACGCUGGCGGCGUGCUUAACACAUGCAAGUCGAGCGGUAAGGCCCUUUCGGGGGUACACGAGCGGCGAACGGGUGAGUAACACGUGGGUGACCUGCCCUCAGCUCUGGGAUAAGCCUGGGAAACUGGGUCUAAUACUGGAUAUGACUCCACGGUGCAUGUCGUGGGGUGGAAAGCCUUGUGCGGCUGAGGAUGGGCCCGCGGCCUAUCAGCUCGUUGGUGGGGUGANGGCCUACCAAGGCGACGACGGGUAGCCGGCCUGAGAGGGCGACCGGCCACACUGGGACUGAGACACGGCCCAGACUCCUACGGGAGGCAGCAGUGGGGAAUCUUGCGCAAUGGGCGAAAGCCUGACGCAGCGACGCCGCGUGAGGGAUGACGGCCU
This 388-nucleotide ribosomal RNA is filed under the name uncultured bacterium. Its description in RNAcentral is "bacterial SSU rRNA". It matches the Rfam family "Bacterial small subunit ribosomal RNA", at positions 28 to 417 of the family's 1533-position model. The record is from RNAcentral.